AUUCCGAUUGUUUACCCAAAAACAUUGGUCUUGUAAACCAAA
RNAcentral lists this transfer RNA (42 nucleotides) under Mesoclemmys gibba (toadhead turtle). Its description in RNAcentral is "partial tRNA-Thr". The record is from RNAcentral. Lineage: Eukaryota; Metazoa; Chordata; Testudines; Chelidae.